GACGAACGCUGGCGGCGUGCCUAAUACAUGCAAGUAGAACGCUGAAGGAGGAGCUUGCUUCGCUGGAUGAGUUGCGAACGGGUGAGUAACGCGUAGGUAACCUGCCUGGUAGCGGGGGAUAACUAUUGGAAACGAUAGCUAAUACCGCAUAAUAGUAGAUGUUGCAUGACAUUUGCUUAAAAGGUGCAAUUGCAGCACUACCAGAUGGACCUGCGUUGUAUUAGCUAGUUGGUGGGGUAAAGGCUCACCAAGACGGCGAUACAGAGCCGACCUGAGAGGGGGAUCGGCCACCCUGGGACUUGGACACGGCCCAGACUCCUGCGGGAGGCAGCAGUAUGGUAUCUUCGGCAAUGGACGGAAGUCUGACCCAGCAACGCCGCGUGAGUGAAGAAGGUUUUCGGAUCGUAAAGCUCUGUUGUAAGUGAAGAACGAGUGUGAGAGUGGAAAGUUCGCACUUUGCCGUUAUCUUACCAGAAACGCCCGGCUACCUCCGU
RNAcentral lists this ribosomal RNA (494 nucleotides) under uncultured bacterium. RNAcentral's name for it is "partial 16S ribosomal RNA". It matches the Rfam family "Bacterial small subunit ribosomal RNA", at positions 28 to 506 of the family's 1533-position model. The record is from RNAcentral.